Molecule: transfer RNA, 69 nt
Filed under: Tessmannella kiplingi
Lineage: Eukaryota; Metazoa; Arthropoda; Insecta; Hymenoptera; Liopteridae
Description: tRNA-Leu
Source: RNAcentral
AUUAUUAUAUCAUAAAAGUGAAUUAAUUUUAGAAAUUAAACAUAUAUAUAAUUAAUUAUAUUAAUAAUA